This 514-nucleotide ribosomal RNA is filed under the name uncultured bacterium. RNAcentral describes it as "bacterial SSU rRNA". It matches the Rfam family "Bacterial small subunit ribosomal RNA", at positions 15 to 518 of the family's 1533-position model. The record is from RNAcentral.
GAUCAUGGCUCAGGAUGAACGCUGGCGGCAGGCUUAAUACAUGCAAGUCGAACGGUAAGGCCGAGCGUAGCAAUACGUGAGGUACACGAGUGGCGCACGGGUGCGUAACGCGUAUGCAAUCUGCCCCCGACCGGGACAAAACAGCUGGAAACGGCUGCUAAUAUCCCAUGGUCAUGAGAGACGGCAUCGUUUUUCAUGUAAAGAUUCAUUGGUCGGGGAUGAGCAUGCGUAUUAUUAGGUAGUUGGUGGGGUAACGGCCCACCAAGCCGACGAUGAUUAGGGGUUCUGAGAGGAUUAACCCCCACACUGGAACUGAGACACGGUCCAGACUCCUACGGGAGGCAGCAGUAGGGAAUAUUGGGCAAUGGAGGCAACUCUGACCCAGCCAUGCCGCGUGAAGGAAGACGGCCCUAUGGGUUGUAAACUUCUUUUGCCGCAGAGUAAACCCGGUCACGUGUGGCCGGUUGAGAGUAUGCGGCGAAUAAGUAUCGGCUAACUCCGUGCCAGCCGCUGC